Molecule: ribosomal RNA, 472 nt
Filed under: uncultured bacterium
Lineage: Bacteria
Description: partial 16S ribosomal RNA
Rfam family: Bacterial small subunit ribosomal RNA
Source: RNAcentral
GACGAACGCUGGCGGCGUGCUUAACACAUGCAAGUCGAACGGGAGUAUCGAAGAAGCUUGCUUUAGAGAUACUUUAGUGGCGGACGGGUGAGUAACGAGUGAGGAGCUGUCCUAUGCAGGGGGACAACAGUUGGAAACGACUGCUAAUACCCCAUAAGCCGAGAGGUAAAAGGAUUUAUCCGGCAGAGGAGGUACUCGCGUCCUAUCAGCUAGUAGGUGAGGUAACGGCUCACCUAGGCGAAGACGGGUAGCCGGCCUGAGAGGGCGAACGGCCACACUGGAACUGAGAUACGGUCCAGACUCCUACGGGAGGCAGCAGUGGGGAAUAUUGGGCAAUGGGGGGAACCCUGACCCAGCGACGCCGCGUGGGUGAAGAAAUCCUUCGGGAUGUAAAGCCCUGUUGUAUGGGAAGAGCGGAAGACGGUACCAUACGAGGAAGCCCCGGCAAACUACGUGCCAGCCGCCGCGGUAA